This is a non-coding RNA of Pelobates cultripes (western spadefoot toad), 1055 nucleotides long. The record is from the annotation of a GenBank genome assembly. NCBI's taxonomy places the organism in Eukaryota, Metazoa, Chordata, Amphibia, Anura, Pelobatidae.
GACUUGCAGUGUGGUUAAUAAUACACAGGCCUCAUCUGAAAGAGGCAUUCACAUACUUCAGUGACCUUUCACGGUUCCAACUCUCUGAGUGUAGCAUCCUUGUUCACUGCAUGUGCUAAUCUUUUGGUCUACCUUCACAGGUUCUGAUUUCUAGUGUCCUGGUUACCAUCUAUCUGGAGUCUUCUUUUUCAAUAACUCCAGGGAUUCUAAGAUAUGGUAAAAUAUAUAUUUUAACUCUACAAAUUAUAAAUAUGGUGCACUCUACAACCAUGCAAAUGUCACAUAAUAUCCAAUUAAAGGUCCAUUAAAAAAACAAAAAAAACAAAAUACAUUUCAUACUAAGUAAAAAAAUAACAAUCCAUAACACUAAUUUUGUAUAGUAUGCGAUCAUUACAGUGCUUCAGUUUGUGGACAGAGAAACCUUAGACAACAUGUGGGUGCCAUUCCUUAAAACUGAACAUAAUAAGCAAAUAUCUGGCAUUUCUAACAAGCUCCACUAACAGAUUUUGGUUCAGUGUUGUCAACUUGUUUUUUAAGUUUUGUGUUAUUUUAGGUAAAUACAAAAAUAAAAGGUCUGCACACUCCAGAGCUCAAUAAGAGGUACAUUAAUUGGAACCAAAUAUUCUGAACAAUAUUGCAAUCCAACAAUGGGUCUUUGUCAAGUUAACACCACAAACAACAAACUGUGUACAGGUAGUUCCCGACUUUACAAACUUAUUGGUUCUAAAGCCGAGUUCAUGAAGUGUGAACUAAUUUCCCAUAGCUCGCAAUGUAAUAAACAUGAGUCCCAUUCCUGACCAAAAGCAUUUUCCAUUGAAAACUUUAAUUAUGAAGUACACAUACAAGAUGAAAACAUAGCAAAUACAUAUAUGUUGUAGAAACAUUAAAGGAAAACAUACCAUAUCGAAAUCUUCAUCAAAUCAUUAUCAGUCAUCAUCCUCCUCACUUGUUACACCUCCCAGUCCCUCCACGUGGUGUCUUACCACCCCUCCCAGAGCCUCAUUACCCCCCUCCAUGUGUCUCAUUCUCCCAAAGCCCAUCCAUGUGUCUCAUUC